GAGAAACGCUGGCGGCGCACAUAAGACAUGCAAGUCGAACGGAAUUUAGUCGAAUGUUUACAUGAGACGAAAAUUUAGUGGCGGACGGGUGAGUAACACGUGAGCAACCUGCCUUUAAGAGGGGGAUAACAUUGAGAAAUGACUGCUAAUACCGCAUAUGCCUAAGUACCACAUGGUACAAUAGGGAAAGGAGCAAUCCGCUGAUAGAUGGGCUUGCGUCUGAUUAGAUAGUUGGUGGGGUAACGGCCUACCAAGUCGACGAUCAGUAGCCGGACUGAGAGGUUGAACGGCCACAUUGGGACUGAGAUACGGCCCAGACUCCUACGGGAGGCAGCAGUCGGGAAUAUUGCGCAAUGGAGGAAACUCUGACGCAGUGACGCCGCGUGCAGGAAGAAGGUUUUCGGAUUGUAAACUGCUUUAGACAGGGAAGAAACAAGACAGUACCUGUAGAAUAAGCUCCGGCUAACUACGUGCCAGCAG
RNAcentral lists this ribosomal RNA (480 nucleotides) under uncultured bacterium. RNAcentral's name for it is "bacterial SSU rRNA". It matches the Rfam family "Bacterial small subunit ribosomal RNA", at positions 32 to 514 of the family's 1533-position model. The record is from RNAcentral.